RNAcentral lists this ribosomal RNA (301 nucleotides) under uncultured bacterium. RNAcentral describes it as "partial 16S ribosomal RNA". It matches the Rfam family "Bacterial small subunit ribosomal RNA", at positions 509 to 807 of the family's 1533-position model. The record is from RNAcentral.
CAGUAGCCGCGGGAAUACGAAGGGGGCUAGCGUUGUUCGGAAUUACUGGGCGUAAAGCGCACGUAGGCGGAUAUUUAAGUCAGGGGUGAAAUCCCAGAGCUCAACCCUGGAACUGCCUUUGAUACUGGGUAUCUUGAGUAUGGAAGAGGUGAGUGGAAUUCCGAGUGUAGAGGUGAAAUUCGUAGAUAUUCGGAGGAACGCCAGUGGCGAAGGCAGCCCCCUGGGCCAAUACUGACGCUCAUGCACGAAAGCGUGGGGAGCAAACAGGAUUAGAUACCCCAGUAGUCCCUGUCUCUUAUAC